GCUUGGGUAGCUCAGUUGGUAGAGCACUUGCCCGUGAAAGGCAAAGGUCCCGAGUUCGAGUCUCGGUCCGGGACA
RNAcentral lists this transfer RNA (75 nucleotides) under Schistocerca americana (American grasshopper). RNAcentral's name for it is "tRNA-Ser". It matches the Rfam family "tRNA". From Rfam's summary of the family: Transfer RNA (tRNA) molecules are approximately 80 nucleotides in length. Their secondary structure includes four short double-helical elements and three loops (D, anti-codon, and T loops). Further hydrogen bonds mediate the characteristic L-shaped molecular structure. tRNAs have two regions of fundamental functional importance: the anti-codon, which is responsible for specific mRNA codon recognition, and the 3' end, to which the tRNAs corresponding amino acid is attached (by aminoacyl-tRNA synthetases). tRNAs cope with the degeneracy of the genetic code in two manners: having more than one tRNA (with a specific anti-codon) for a particular amino acid; and 'wobble' base-pairing, i.e. permitting non-standard base-pairing at the 3rd anti-codon position. The record is from RNAcentral. Lineage: Eukaryota; Metazoa; Arthropoda; Insecta; Orthoptera; Acrididae.